RNAcentral lists this ribosomal RNA (497 nucleotides) under uncultured bacterium. RNAcentral describes it as "partial 16S ribosomal RNA". It matches the Rfam family "Bacterial small subunit ribosomal RNA", at positions 28 to 507 of the family's 1533-position model. The record is from RNAcentral.
GAUGAACGCUGGCGGCGUGCCUAAUACAUGCAAGUCGAGCGAACGGACGAGAAGCUUGCUUCUCUGAUGUUAGCGGCGGACGGGUGAGUAACACGUGGAUAACCUACCUAUACGACUGGGAUAACUUCGGGAAACCGGAGCUAAUACCGGAUAAUAUUUUGAACCGCAUGGUUCAAGAGUGAAAGAAGGUCUUGCUGUGACUUAUAGAUGGAUCCGCGCUGCAUUCGCUAGUUGGUAGGGUAGCGGCUUACCAAGGCUACGAUGCAUAGCCGACCCGAGAGCGUGAACGGCCACACUGGAAGUGAGACACGGUCCCCACUCCUACGGUAGGCCGCAGUACGGAAUCUUACGCGAUGGGCGAAUGCCUAACGGAGCAACGCCGCCUGAGUGAUGAAGCUCUUCGGCUCCUAAAACUCUGUUAGUAUUGAAGAACAUAUGUGUAAGUAACUGUGCACAUCUUGACGGUACCUAAUCAGAAAGCCCCGGCUAACUCCGUG